UACAACUUUCAGCAACGGAUCUCUUGGCUCUCGCAUCGAUGAAGAACGCAGCGAAAUGCGAUAAGUAAUGUGAAUUGCAGAAUUCAGUGAAUCAUCGAAUCUUUGAACGCACCUUGCGCUCCUUGGUACUCCGAGGAGCAUGCCUGUUUGAGUGUCAUUAAAUUCUCAA
Molecule: ribosomal RNA, 169 nt
Filed under: Conocybe graminis
Lineage: Eukaryota; Fungi; Basidiomycota; Agaricomycetes; Agaricales; Bolbitiaceae
Description: 5.8S ribosomal RNA
Rfam family: 5.8S ribosomal RNA
About the family: 5.8S ribosomal RNA (5.8S rRNA) is a component of the large subunit of the eukaryotic ribosome. It is transcribed by RNA polymerase I as part of the 45S precursor that also contains 18S and 28S rRNA.
Source: RNAcentral